Molecule: long non-coding RNA, 2232 nt
Organism: Sceloporus undulatus (fence lizard)
Lineage: Eukaryota; Metazoa; Chordata; Lepidosauria; Squamata; Phrynosomatidae
Exons: 2
Source: RefSeq, a predicted model, not a curated record
GUUUUCAGCCUUUACAGAACAGCAAUAAGGUUUAACUCCAAAGUGCAACAUGAGAUUCAUUUUUAAUUGUUUACUGUGCAUUUGCCUUUCAACUUCUCUUCUUCCCUUUGUCAUUAGCUUUCCCCAUGCCUUCCCAUCUUUUUGCUUUGAAAGUAAUUUUAAUUAUUACUUAAAAAGUAAGAAAGAAGAAACUGGUGUUUUUGGCCUUGAUGUGACCCACCUUAGAUUGCAACCAUCUUGGAUCCUUCCUCAUGAGCAAAAGACUCGCUCAGUGGUCAACAUAAGUAAUAUAAUGUAGGUCUGUUCUUUCUCUAGUUUUCUUUUAAGGUAGAACUUCACCUGCCCCAGCACACUGUAACAAGUUUAUUACCCAUAAAAACAUAUUUUAAUGCCAACAGUUAAUUAAAUGUCAUAUUCCAAUGUUGCUCACAACAAUAAUAUACAACUUGCACAAAACAUGGUUGAUUUGACAAGAAAUGUUUUGCAGGCUGACAAUAUAUAUAGAUAUAUAGAUAUAGUUGUCUUUCUUAUUAAAGGAUUUAUUAUGCCAGGAGUCAUGCAAAGAAUUCAAAGCAGUAAACACAAGAGGAACAAUCACUUGUUGACAUUACCAAACCAUUCAAAUACAGAAACAGUAAGCUAUAGGGAAAUAUAUACAUACACUGUUUUGUUGUGGUUGUUUUUGUGGUCCCCUUCUGUGUUAUAUUAAAACAUUGCUCCCACCCCACUGGGUCCUUAUUAAAGAUAAGUCCAAAAAUAGGAUUUGGAGUAUUUUCUACCAAUACAGACCACCAAUAUAAACACUUGAGAUUUCAACCAUAGAUCCCUAUGAAUUAGGCACUUAACCAUUGGCUGGGAGUGGUGGCAGGAAUCAGCAACACAAGUAUCCCUCUCCAAAGCCAAUAUUAAUUCUUAGACACAGAGUCCUUAAAUCAUUUGAAGUUAGAGGUUGUCAUAUGCCAUAUACAUCAUCUUUUCCCCUCAACCCAUGCAUUAUGUAUAUGAAUUUCAGUUUGAACACCAUUUAAAGCAGUGGUUUUCAAACCAUGCUCCUAAGAAUCCCAAUGGUUGUAGUAGCGAGCAACAUUUCAUGUAAAAUCUUGUCUGCUAUCUCUCAUCUUCUCGUAGAAGAAUCCCCAAUUAGAACAAUUAUAGGGAACAAGCUUACAUGAAAGCUGGGCCACCACUUUGGACUUUGCCAUGAAUUGCAAGGGGAAUUUUGGCUGUAUACUAGGGGAUUACUCAGCAAUGUGGAGAGUGAGUCACAAUGUGGACAAGCAUGUACCCUAGAAUAUAUGACAUCCCACCAUCCUUUACACUAUGCAGGGAUUCAAUUGCAAAUGAUCUGGAGGAGCUCCACAGUAGAUGGUGAUGCAAAAAUCCUUCCCUAACAGAAGAAAAGUUGAAAACCAUGGCAUUAGAACUGUAACCUCAUGAAAUUGGACCUCCUUAAUGCAGUAGUGCACAGCACCGUCACCAAACUCAUCCAAUAUGAACAGAGGAUGACUUGUAUGUAUCCUUGCAGUCAAAAUAUAGACCUGAGGAAGUGUAACAAGAUGAUUCUGAAAACAAGAUAGCUAUACGGAUAUGCCAUUUACUAUCCUUUUUGGGGGAAUCUCGGCUUUUUCGUUUCUAUACUUUCUGGCUUCUCCAAAAAGGUAUAAAAGAAAGACACGGUGAACAAUUAUUACAAGAUGUUUUCUCCGAUGUAAGGGUUCAAAGUAGACAUGAUAUAUUUAUUUUCUCUCCUUGACACAAAGUAUUCAGAUACAUUGUUACCGAGGAAAUGGUUGAAAUUCACAUUUUAUAACAAUAUAUUGUUAAGAGAAAUUGUUCCAAGGCAAUUACUAUAUCAUGUAUCGUUUCUUUUUCUUUCAAUGGUUGAAUAUUGUAUAUUACAUAAGAAAUAACAUUUUUGAGUACUAGGUCUGCAAAAAGAAAACACACCUUGUUUCAAUGGUUUUCAGACGCAGGGUAGGAAUUGAUAUAAGGAAGUCAUUGGGUUAUACUUUUAUUGAGAGAGAACAGAGAGAGUUCAUGUUUUGCUAUAUAUUUCUUUUGGUUUUUCUGCUGUUUUCCUCCAAACUGUAUUAUUGCAUAAUUGCUAAAAUGUAUAAAUUUGUAAACCAGGUAAUUGGCAGUGAUACAAUGGAGGCGACCAUUAUUGUUAAUAAUUGUUUACUCUGUUCUGUUAUUUUAUAAAAAUCUAAUAAAGAAUAUUUAAAAAAAAAA